RNAcentral lists this unclassified non-coding RNA (457 nucleotides) under uncultured Glomus. RNAcentral's name for it is "SSU rRNA". It matches the Rfam family "Eukaryotic small subunit ribosomal RNA", at positions 569 to 1032 of the family's 1831-position model. Lineage: Eukaryota; Fungi; Glomeromycota; Glomeromycetes; Glomerales; Glomeraceae. The record is from RNAcentral.
AGCAGCCGCGGUAAUUCCAGCUCCAAUAGCGUAUAUUAAAGUUGUUGCAGUUAAAAGCUCGUAGUUGAAUUUCGGAAUCUGUCCGUCGGUCGGGCUUCACUGUCCGUACUGGUGUGGUGGGUUCUUACCUUCUGAAUAACCAGCAUGCCAUUCACUUGGUGCGUUGGGGAAGCAGGACUAUUACCUUGAAAAAUUGAGUGCUCAAAGCAGGCCAGUGCCUGAAUACAUUAGCAUGGAAUAAUAAAAUAGGACGGCAUGGUUCUAUUUUGUUGGUUUCUAGGAUCACCGUAAUGAUUAAUAGGGAUAGUUGGGGGCAUUAGUAUUCAAUUGUCAGAGGUGAAAUUCUUGGAUUUAUUGAAGACUAACUUCUGCGAAAGCAUUUGCCAAGGAUGUUUUCAUUAAUCAAGAACGAAAGUUAGGGAUCGAAGACGAUCAGAUACCGUCGUAGUCUUAACAU